RNAcentral lists this unclassified non-coding RNA (379 nucleotides) under fungal sp. RNAcentral's name for it is "partial internal transcribed spacer region". The stretch from base 1 to 46 matches the Rfam family "Eukaryotic small subunit ribosomal RNA", at positions 1786 to 1831 of the family's 1831-position model. Lineage: Eukaryota; Fungi. The record is from RNAcentral.
AAGUCGUAACAAGGUUUCCGUAGGUGAACCUGCGGAAGGAUCAUUACAACGUAUCCACGUACCAAACUCUCGAACUGUUCCCAACGAAGUCAAACACUUGUGGAUGAAGUUAGACUGCUUGCUUUCCGCUGAUGGAGUUCGCUGGCAUUCGCUGGUGAACUGGAAGGCAUUCGGUCGUCAGAGCUGGACUCUGAGGCUUCGUUUACUUCGUUGCGGUUUACCCGUCAGCUUGAUUUUACCCUUAUUAACCCUUUGAACUUAUGAACUGAACUUGAUGGCCUUGCGUCGUCCUUGCUGGCUUCGGUCACGGACAGCACGCCUGGUUUAUCACAUUUUACGAAACAAAGAACAACUCUUAGCAACGGAUAUCUUGGUUCUC